This 503-nucleotide ribosomal RNA is filed under the name uncultured bacterium. Its description in RNAcentral is "partial 16S ribosomal RNA". It matches the Rfam family "Bacterial small subunit ribosomal RNA", at positions 30 to 523 of the family's 1533-position model. The record is from RNAcentral.
AUUGAACGCUGGCGGCAGGCUUAACACAUGCAAGUCGAGCGGGGUGAUGGUGCUUGCACUAUCACUUAGCGGCGGACGGGUGAGUAAUGCUUAGGAAUCUGCCUAUUAGUGGGGGACAACAUCUCGAAAGGGAUGCUAAUACCGCAUACGUCCUACGGGAGAAAGCAGGGGAUCACUUGUGACCUUGCGCUAAUAGAUGAGCCUAAGUCGGAUUAGCUAGUUGGUGGGGUAAAGGCCUACCAAGGCGACGAUCUGUAGCGGGUCUGAGAGGAUGAUCCGCCACACUGGGACUGAGACACGGCCCAGACUCCUACGGGAGGCAGCAGUGGGGAAUAUUGGACAAUGGGCGGAAGCCUGAUCCAGCCAUGCCGCGUGUGUGAAGAAGGCCUUUUGGUUGUAAAGCACUUUAAGCGAGGAGGAGGCUCUUAAGGUUAAUACCCUUGAUGAGUGGACGUUACUCGCAGAAUAAGCACCGGCUAACUCUGUGCCAGCCGCCGCCGUAA